This 1772-nucleotide long non-coding RNA is filed under the name Equus caballus (horse). RNAcentral's name for it is "lncRNA (ENSECAG00000056890.1)". The record is from RNAcentral. Lineage: Eukaryota; Metazoa; Chordata; Mammalia; Perissodactyla; Equidae.
AGAGUAGGACACCUGCAGUCCCGAGACCCAGGCUCAGCUGGGUGAGCUUGAGAAGAUCUCUCCAGCCUCUCAGAAGGAAAACCUGGAGCUCACCAGGCAACAGGAUGAUCGAGACAGAAAGAAAAGGGGAGCAGGAGCAGGUGGAGGAGGCGUGCUCAUCUGUGGCACUUAGUGACUUUCAGGAGGGGUCUCCUGCUGGAUUCCCGUCGCUCCAUGGCUCCGAAACGCAGGCAGCCCUCCCAGGACUCCAAGCAGGGCCCAAAAUUUGUUUGUGAGGAUUUGCAUAAAAAGCUUUACUGAAUGGGAUUCACUGAAUGCAGGUGAGAUUCACAGCGUCCCCCAGGGCAACGAUUUUCUCUUUGAAUUUCAUUCUCACUUGAGAAGCAAACACCACUCCUCUGCUUUCUCCCUCCACUAGACCUGCACUCCCUUCCCGUUCCUUAUUCUUACUUGUCACACACGCACAGAUACUCAUGCGUGCACACAUAUGCACAUAAACACCUGUGUACAUAUGCAUACGCACGUGCAUGCGAGUACACACAUAAAUGCACAUGCACACGCACCCAACAAGCUUUAAGUCACUGAAUAAGACUGUGUUGUUUCUAUCGCAGAUGGCUCCUGGAGUUUGACUCUGGCCCAAAGUGAAGGCUGCCUGGGAUGCAAAGGAGAAGCUCUCAGCCCAGUCUGCUGGGGAAGCACCUGUCAUUGGUUUGGGCCUGGCAGCGUGGUCUCCAAGGAGACGGUAGUGAGACCCCGCCUGUGUCACUGAGCCAGCACUGGGGGACUGAGGCCCAGGGGUCUGUACUGGGACCUCAGGAGAGUCUGAAGGCCAGGCAGCUUUGGGACCGCUGAAGAAAACCCUUCCUCUCUGUUCCUAGGUUGCAUGUAGAUUCUUGGCAGAGGCCUUGGUAUUACCCAGACAUUGUCCCCCGCCCUGCACGGAGGGAGUGACUCCAACAGUAAGGAGUCUGGCAGCACUGCAGGGGAUGGCAUGGAAGCUUUGAGUGGAGCCUCCCAGAAGCCUGCAGCAUGACAUGGAGCUAUCUGCUGCUCAGUCAGAGACCCAGGCCUUCCAAGACUCCCAGUGGCUCUGUCCCUGGGCACUGAGGGUGGGCCAAAUGGGCUUCCCACUUCACCAACCUGCACCCAUUUCCUGGCUGGACCAGGCAUCCUGGGGGAGUUACAUGAGGCUCCCUGCUGGUUAAGGCUCCAAGCCCACCUUGGUCUUCUGGGCUGGGUCCCUCAUGCUCCUCCUCUCCUUCCAUAUCAUCCCACCCUCCCUACCCCUGCCAGCCCCAUUUGUUCUCUGUUCCUCGCUCUCCCACCUCCUCUGUCUCCUAGGUGUCUGCCCACCCCUGCCUUUCUCAGUCGCCACACAGCUCAUGGCCAUGUCCACGCCCCCCCAGACCUCAUCCCCAGUAAUAUCAACCACAACCAUAACCAAUGUUUAUUACGCACCUAUUAUGUCCUAGGUACUGUUAUUCAUUUCAUUUAAUUCUCACAUAAACCCCAUGAAGCAGGUUGGGUUAUUACUACCAUUUUAUAGAUAAGGAAACUGAGGAUCGACAAGGCGAAGCAACCUACUCAGGGUCAAACAAUUUGUAAGUGGACAGCCAGGUUUCAUCUUCGAGUCUAUCUUGUGUAUCUCAUACCCCUUCUCCCUCCCUGGCAUUAUGUUACACGUUUAUUGAGUUGGCUGUUAUCCAUCUAGAAUGUGGGCUCCCUGAGGCCAGGGACUGACCUACUCACCACCUCCUGUAUCAGUACCUGGC